Molecule: ribosomal RNA, 954 nt
Filed under: uncultured Rheinheimera sp.
Lineage: Bacteria; Pseudomonadati; Pseudomonadota; Gammaproteobacteria; Chromatiales; Chromatiaceae
Description: bacterial SSU rRNA
Rfam family: Bacterial small subunit ribosomal RNA
Source: RNAcentral
UAGCUAGUUGGUGGGGUAACGGCUCACCAAGGCGACGAUCCCUAGCUGGUUUGAGAGGAUGAUCAGCCACACUGGAACUGAGACACGGUCCAGACUCCUACGGGAGGCAGCAGUGGGGAAUAUUGGACAAUGGGCGCAAGCCUGAUCCAGCCAUGCCGCGUGUGUGAAGAAGGCCUUCGGGUUGUAAAGCACUUUCAGCGAGGAGGAAGGGUGGUGUUUUAAUAGAACAUCAUUUUGACGUUACUCGCAGAAGAAGCACCGGCUAACUCUGUGCCAGCAGCCGCGGUAAUACAGAGGGUGCAAGCGUUAAUCGGAAUUACUGGGCGUAAAGCGCACGUAGGCGGUUUCUUAAGUCAGAUGUGAAAGCCCCGGGCUCAACCUGGGAAUUGCAUUUGAAACUGGGGAACUAGAGUGUGUGAGAGGGGGGUAGAAUUCCAAGUGUAGCGGUGAAAUGCGUAGAGAUUUGGAGGAAUACCNANNGUGGCGAAGGCGGCCCCCUGGCACAACACUGACGCUCAGGUGCGAAAGCGUGGGGAGCAAACAGGAUUAGAUNNACCCUGGUAGUCCACGCCGUAAACGAUGUCUACUAGCUGUUCGUGACCUUGUGUUGUGAGUAGCGCAGCUAACGCAUUAAGUAGACCGCCUGGGGAGUACNGGUCGCAAGAUUAAAACUCAAAUGAAUUGACGGGGGCCCGCACAAGCGGUGGAGCAUGUGGUUUAAUUCGACGCAACGCGAAGAACCUUACCUACUCUUGACAUCUAGCGAAGAUUGCAGAGAUGCAGUUGUGCCUUCGGGAACGCUAAGACAGGUGCUGCAUGGCUGUCGUCAGCUCGUGUUGUGAAAUGUUGGGUUAAGUCCCGCAACGAGCGCAACCCUUAUCCUUAGUUGCCAGCUCGUAUUGGUGGGAACUCUAGGGAGACUGCCGGUGAUAAACGGGAGGAAGGUGGGGACGA